UUUGACCUCGAAUCAGGUGGGACUACCCGCUGAACUUAAGCAUAUCAAUAAGCGGAGGAAAAGAAACUAACAAGGAUUCCCCUAGUAACGGCGAGUGAAGCGGGAAGAGCUCAAAUUUAAAAUCUGGCAAUC
RNAcentral lists this ribosomal RNA (132 nucleotides) under Clavulina humicola. RNAcentral describes it as "partial 28S ribosomal RNA". It matches the Rfam family "Eukaryotic large subunit ribosomal RNA", at positions 1 to 130 of the family's 3401-position model. Lineage: Eukaryota; Fungi; Basidiomycota; Agaricomycetes; Cantharellales; Hydnaceae. The record is from RNAcentral.